This 383-nucleotide ribosomal RNA is filed under the name uncultured eukaryote. RNAcentral describes it as "partial 18S ribosomal RNA". It matches the Rfam family "Eukaryotic small subunit ribosomal RNA", at positions 592 to 976 of the family's 1831-position model. The record is from RNAcentral.
CAAUAGCGUAUAUUAAAGUUGUUGCAGUUAAAAAGCUCGUAGUUGGAUUUCUGGUGGGAGCGAUCGGUCUGGCGCUUAGCGCGAGUACUUGCAUCGGCUCCGGCCAUCCUUGGGGAAAGUCUGUCUGGCAUUAAGUUGUCGGGCAGAGGAUCCUCAUCGUUUACUGUGAAAAAAUUAGAGUGUUCAAAGCAGGCUUAUGCCGUUGAAUAUAUUAGCAUGGAAUAAUAAGAUAGGACUUUGGUACUAUUUUGUUGGUUUGCGCACCAAAGUAAUGAUUAAUAGGGACAGUUGGGGGUAUUCGUAUUCCGUUGUCAGAGGUGAAAUUCUUGGAUUUACGGAAGACGAACUACUGCGAAAGCAUUUACCAAGGAUGUUUUCAUUAA